This 506-nucleotide ribosomal RNA is filed under the name uncultured bacterium. RNAcentral's name for it is "bacterial SSU rRNA". It matches the Rfam family "Bacterial small subunit ribosomal RNA", at positions 30 to 527 of the family's 1533-position model. The record is from RNAcentral.
AUUGAACGCUGGCGGCAUGCUUUACACAUGCAAGUCGAACGGCAGCGGGGGCUUCGGCCCGCCGGCGAGUGGCGAACGGGUGAGUAAUGCAUCGGAACGUGCCCAGUCGUGGGGGAUAACACAUCGAAAGAUGUGCUAAUACCGCAUACGUCCUGAGGGAGAAAGCGGGGGAUCUUCGGACCUCGCGCGAUUGGAGCGGCCGAUGUCGGAUUAGCUAGUUGGUGGGGUAAAAGCCCACCAAGGCGACGAUCCGUAGCGGGUCUGAGAGGAUGAUCCGCCACACUGGGACUGAGACACGGCCCAGACUCCUACGGGAGGCAGCAGUAGGGAAUUUUUCGGCAAUGGGGGAAACCCUGACCGAGCAAUGCCGCGUGAACGAUGAAGGUCUUCGGAUUGUAAAGUUCUGUGAUUGGGGAAGAAUGGUAUUCUUAGGGAAUGAGGAGUACAUGACGGUACCCGAUUAGAAAGCCCCGGCUAACUAUGUGCCAGCAGCCGCGGUAAAUACG